Molecule: ribosomal RNA, 497 nt
Filed under: uncultured bacterium
Lineage: Bacteria
Description: partial 16S ribosomal RNA
Rfam family: Bacterial small subunit ribosomal RNA
Source: RNAcentral
GAUGAACGCUGGCGGCGUGCCUAAUACAUGCAAGUCGAGCGAACGGACGAGAAGCUUGCUUUUCUGAUGUUAGCGGCGGACGGGUGAGUAACACGUGGAUAACCUGCCUAUAAGACUGGGAUAACUUCGGGAAACCGGAGCUAAUACCGGAUAAUAUUUUGAACCGCAUGGUUCAAAAGUGAAAGACGGUCUUGCUGUCACUUAUAGAUGGAUCCGCGCUGCAUUAGCUAGUUGGUAAGGUAACGGCUUACCAAGGCAACGAUGCAUAGCCGACCUGAGAGGGUGAUCGGCCACACUGGAACUGAGACACGGUCCAGACUCCUACGGGAGGCAGCAGUAGGGAACCUUCCGCAAUGGGCGAAAGCCUGACGGAGCAACGCCGCGUGAGUGAUGAAGGUCUUCGGAUCGUAAAACUCUGUUAUUAGGGAAGAACAUAUGUGUAAGUAACUGUGCACAUCUUGACGGUACCUAAUCAGAAAGCCACGGCUAACUACGUG